RNAcentral lists this non-coding RNA (24 nucleotides) under Cricetulus griseus (Chinese hamster). The record is from RNAcentral. Lineage: Eukaryota; Metazoa; Chordata; Mammalia; Rodentia; Cricetidae.
GACUUGGACUCUGGGGAGGAGUGG